GGCCUUUCGCCGGCGCGCCACCUCGCCUAUAUUCGAAGAGCCGGGGCAACCCGGCUAUGGCGAUAAACGGCUAUCGUAAUAAACCUAUCGGACCCGGGGGCAGUACCCGGCGCCUCCACCAGCAGGGCUCCUGCGGGUGCCCUGCUGAUGGGGGCGAAACAGGAUCGACGAGGGUGUAAAGGGUGGACUUUCGCUCGGCAUGGUUCCGCCGUUAUCGGGCCGUCUCAAUAGUUGCCAACGACAACUAUGCUCCGGUGGCCGUUGCCGCGUAAUGCGGUGAUGGUACCGAUCCAAAGCCCUUGCGGGUAGCACUGUAAGGCGGGGUUCGGAGGCACCUGGCAACAGAAGCCUCCACU
RNAcentral lists this transfer-messenger RNA (356 nucleotides) under Phreatobacter oligotrophus. Its description in RNAcentral is "Alphaproteobacteria transfer-messenger RNA". It matches the Rfam family "Alphaproteobacteria transfer-messenger RNA". From Rfam's summary of the family: Bacterial tmRNA, also known as 10Sa RNA or SsrA, is named for its dual tRNA and mRNA-like properties. RNAcentral also lists the same sequence under 1 other name. Lineage: Bacteria; Pseudomonadati; Pseudomonadota; Alphaproteobacteria; Hyphomicrobiales; Phreatobacteraceae. The record is from RNAcentral.